This 468-nucleotide ribosomal RNA is filed under the name uncultured bacterium. Its description in RNAcentral is "partial 16S ribosomal RNA". It matches the Rfam family "Bacterial small subunit ribosomal RNA", at positions 28 to 507 of the family's 1533-position model. The record is from RNAcentral.
GACGAACGCUGGCGGCGUGCUUAACACAUGCAAGUCGAACGGAAAGGCCCUGCUUUUGUGGGGUGCUCGAGUGGCGAAGGGGUGAGUAACACGUGAGUAACCUGCACUUGACUUUGGGAUAACUUCAGGAAACUGGGGCUAAUACCGGGUAGGAGUUCCUGCUGCAUGGUGGGGGUUGGAAAGUUUCGGCGGUUGGGGAUGGACUCGCGGCUUAUCAGCUUGUUGGGGGGGUAGUGGCUUACCAAGGCUUUGACGGGUAGCCGGCCGGAGAGGGUGACCAGGCACAGUGGGACUGAGAUACGGCCCAGACUCCUACGGGAGGCAGCAGUGGGGAAUAUUGCACAAUGGGCGGAAGCGUGAUGCAGCAACGCCGCGUGCGGGAUGACGGCCUUCGGGUUGUAAACCGCUUUCGCCUGUGACGAAGCGGGAGUGACGGUAAUGGGUAAAGAAGCACCGGCUAACUACGUG